This 253-nucleotide ribosomal RNA is filed under the name uncultured bacterium. Its description in RNAcentral is "partial 16S ribosomal RNA". It matches the Rfam family "Bacterial small subunit ribosomal RNA", at positions 524 to 776 of the family's 1533-position model. The record is from RNAcentral.
UACGUAGGGUGCGAGCGUUAAUCGGAAUUACUGGGCGUAAAGCGUGCGUAGGCGGUCCGCAAAGUCUGAUGUGAAAGCCCCGGGCUCAACCUGGGAACUGCAUUGGAAACUAACGGGCUUGAGUGUGGCAGAGGGGGGUGGAAUUCCACGUGUAGCAGUGAAAUGCGUAGAGAUGUGGAGGAACACCGAUGGCGAAGGCAGCCCCCUGGGCUAACACUGACGCUCAGGCACGAAAGCGUGGGGAGCAAACAGG